AGUGAACGCUGGCGGUAGGCCUAACACAUGCAAGUCGAACGGCAGCACAGUAAGAGCUUGCUCUUACGGGUGGCGAGUGGCGGACGGGUGAGGAAUACAUCGGAAUCUACUUUUUCGUGGGGGAUAAGGUAGGGAAACUUACGCUAAUAUCGCAUACGACCUACGGGUGAAAGGAGGGGAUCUUCGGACCUUGCGCGAUUGAAUGAGCCGAUGUUGGAUUAGAUGGUGGGCGGGGUAAAGGCCCACCCAGGCGACGAUUCGUAGCUGGUGUGAGAGGAUGGUCGGCGACAUUGGAAGUGAGACACGGACCAGACGCCUACGGGAGGCACCAGUGGGGUAUAUUGGACAGUGGGCGCAAGCAUUGUCCAGUCAUACCGCGUGUGUGAAGACGGCCUUGGGGUUGUAAAGACCUUUUGUUGGGAAAGAAAAGCAGCAGGUUAAUACCCAGCUGUUCUGACGGUACCCAAAGAAUAAGCACCGGCUAACUUCGUG
RNAcentral lists this ribosomal RNA (492 nucleotides) under uncultured bacterium. RNAcentral describes it as "partial 16S ribosomal RNA". It matches the Rfam family "Bacterial small subunit ribosomal RNA", at positions 29 to 507 of the family's 1533-position model. The record is from RNAcentral.